GCCCUGUUGGUCCCACCAUGGUUAGAAUGCCAGCCUGUCACGCUGGAGGUCGAGGGUUCGAGCCCCUUCCAGGUCGCCA
This 79-nucleotide transfer RNA is filed under the name Clostridioides difficile. RNAcentral's name for it is "tRNA-Asp". It matches the Rfam family "tRNA". Rfam says of the family: Transfer RNA (tRNA) molecules are approximately 80 nucleotides in length. Their secondary structure includes four short double-helical elements and three loops (D, anti-codon, and T loops). Further hydrogen bonds mediate the characteristic L-shaped molecular structure. tRNAs have two regions of fundamental functional importance: the anti-codon, which is responsible for specific mRNA codon recognition, and the 3' end, to which the tRNAs corresponding amino acid is attached (by aminoacyl-tRNA synthetases). tRNAs cope with the degeneracy of the genetic code in two manners: having more than one tRNA (with a specific anti-codon) for a particular amino acid; and 'wobble' base-pairing, i.e. permitting non-standard base-pairing at the 3rd anti-codon position. The record is from RNAcentral. Lineage: Bacteria; Bacillati; Bacillota; Clostridia; Peptostreptococcales; Peptostreptococcaceae.